AUCCUUUUGUAGUUCAUAGGUGUGAUUAUUGGGUUUUCAUGCUCAUGUGUGAGAUGUACCUCCUUUAAACCUUGUUACAACAUGGGCACAUUACCUGUCUGAUG
Molecule: small nucleolar RNA, 104 nt
Organism: Callithrix jacchus (white-tufted-ear marmoset)
Lineage: Eukaryota; Metazoa; Chordata; Mammalia; Primates; Cebidae
Source: Ensembl